This 72-nucleotide transfer RNA is filed under the name Doryrhamphus excisus (bluestripe pipefish). RNAcentral's name for it is "tRNA-Trp". It matches the Rfam family "tRNA". Rfam says of the family: Transfer RNA (tRNA) molecules are approximately 80 nucleotides in length. Their secondary structure includes four short double-helical elements and three loops (D, anti-codon, and T loops). Further hydrogen bonds mediate the characteristic L-shaped molecular structure. tRNAs have two regions of fundamental functional importance: the anti-codon, which is responsible for specific mRNA codon recognition, and the 3' end, to which the tRNAs corresponding amino acid is attached (by aminoacyl-tRNA synthetases). tRNAs cope with the degeneracy of the genetic code in two manners: having more than one tRNA (with a specific anti-codon) for a particular amino acid; and 'wobble' base-pairing, i.e. permitting non-standard base-pairing at the 3rd anti-codon position. The record is from RNAcentral. Lineage: Eukaryota; Metazoa; Chordata; Actinopteri; Syngnathiformes; Syngnathidae. RNAcentral also lists the same sequence under 1 other name.
AGAGGUUUAGGUUAACAGUUAAACCAAGGGCCUUCAAAGCCCUAAAUAAGAGUUAAACUCUUUUAACCUCUG